This 2586-nucleotide ribosomal RNA is filed under the name Escherichia coli. RNAcentral's name for it is "partial 23S ribosomal RNA". It matches the Rfam family "Bacterial large subunit ribosomal RNA", at positions 375 to 2925 of the family's 2925-position model. Lineage: Bacteria; Pseudomonadati; Pseudomonadota; Gammaproteobacteria; Enterobacterales; Enterobacteriaceae. The record is from RNAcentral.
GUACACAAAAAUGCACAUGCUGUGAGCUCGAUGAGUAGGGCGGGACACGUGGUAUCCUGUCUGAAUAUGGGGGGACCAUCCUCCAAGGCUAAAUACUCCUGACUGACCGAUAGUGAACCAGUACCGUGAGGGAAAGGCGAAAAGAACCCCGGCGAGGGGAGUGAAAAAGAACCUGAAACCGUGUACGUACAAGCAGUGGGAGCACAGAGCAAUCUGUGUGACUGCGUACCUUUUGUAUAAUGGGUCAGCGACUUAUAUUCUGUAGCAAGGUUAACCGAAUAGGGGAGCCGAAGGGAAACCGAGUCUUAACUGGGCGUUAAGUUGCAGGGUAUAGACCCGAAACCCGGUGAUCUAGCCAUGGGCAGGUUGAAGGUUGGGUAACACUAACUGGAGGACCGAACCGACUAAUGUUGAAAAAUUAGCGGAUGACUUGUGGCUGGGGGUGAAAGGCCAAUCAAACCGGGAGAUAGCUGGUUCUCCCCGAAAGCUAUUUAGGUAGCGCCUCGUGAAUUCAUCUCCGGGGGUAGAGCACUGUUUCGGCAAGGGGGUCAUCCCGACUUACCAACCCGAUGCAAACUGCGAAUACCGGAGAAUGUUAUCACGGGAGACACACGGCGGGUGCUAACGUCCGUCGUGAAGAGGGAAACAACCCAGACCGCCAGCUAAGGUCCCAAAGUCAUGGUUAAGUGGGAAACGAUGUGGGAAGGCCCAGACAGCCAGGAUGUUGGCUUAGAAGCAGCCAUCAUUUAAAGAAAGCGUAAUAGCUCACUGGUCGAGUCGGCCUGCGCGGAAGAUGUAACGGGGCUAAACCAUGCACCGAAGCUGCGGCAGCGACACUGUGUGUUGUUGGGUAGGGGAGCGUUCUGUAAGCCUGCGAAGGUGUGCUGUGAGGCAUGCUGGAGGUAUCAGAAGUGCGAAUGCUGACAUAAGUAACGAUAAAGCGGGUGAAAAGCCCGCUCGCCGGAAGACCAAGGGUUCCUGUCCAACGUUAAUCGGGGCAGGGUGAGUCGACCCCUAAGGCGAGGCCGAAAGGCGUAGUCGAUGGGAAACAGGUUAAUAUUCCUGUACUUGGUGUUACUGCGAAGGGGGGACGGAGAAGGCUAUGUUGGCCGGGCGACGGUUGUCCCGGUUUAAGCGUGUAGGCUGGUUUUCCAGGCAAAUCCGGAAAAUCAAGGCUGAGGCGUGAUGACGAGGCACUACGGUGCUGAAGCAACAAAUGCCCUGCUUCCAGGAAAAGCCUCUAAGCAUCAGGUAACAUCAAAUCGUACCCCAAACCGACACAGGUGGUCAGGUAGAGAAUACCAAGGCGCUUGAGAGAACUCGGGUGAAGGAACUAGGCAAAAUGGUGCCGUAACUUCGGGAGAAGGCACGCUGAUAUGUAGGUGAAGUCCCUCGCGGAUGGAGCUGAAAUCAGUCGAAGAUACCAGCUGGCUGCAACUGUUUAUUAAAAACACAGCACUGUGCAAACACGAAAGUGGACGUAUACGGUGUGACGCCUGCCCGGUGCCGGAAGGUUAAUUGAUGGGGUCAGCGCAAGCGAAGCUCUUGAUCGAAGCCCCGGUAAACGGCGGCCGUAACUAUAACGGUCCUAAGGUAGCGAAAUUCCUUGUCGGGUAAGUUCCGACCUGCACGAAUGGCGUAAUGAUGGCCAGGCUGUCUCCACCCGAGACUCAGUGAAAUUGAACUCGCUGUGAAGAUGCAGUGUACCCGCGGCAAGACGGAAAGACCCCGUGAACCUUUACUAUAGCUUGACACUGAACAUUGAGCCUUGAUGUGUAGGAUAGGUGGGAGGCUUUGAAGUGUGGACGCCAGUCUGCAUGGAGCCGACCUUGAAAUACCACCCUUUAAUGUUUGAUGUUCUAACGUUGACCCGUGAUCCGGGUUGCGGACAGUGUCUGGUGGGUAGUUUGACUGGGGCGGUCUCCUCCUAAAGAGUAACGGAGGAGCACGAAGGUUGGCUAAUCCUGGUCGGACAUCAGGAGGUUAGUGCAAUGGCAUAAGCCAGCUUGACUGCGAGCGUGACGGCGCGAGCAGGUGCGAAAGCAGGUCAUAGUGAUCCGGUGGUUCUGAAUGGAAGGGCCAUCGCUCAACGGAUAAAAGGUACUCCGGGGAUAACAGGCUGAUACCGCCCAAGAGUUCAUAUCGACGGCGGUGUUUGGCACCUCGAUGUCGGCUCAUCACAUCCUGGGGCUGAAGUAGGUCCCAAGGGUAUGGCUGUUCGCCAUUUAAAGUGGUACGCGAGCUGGGUUUAGAACGUCGUGAGACAGUUCGGUCCCUAUCUGCCGUGGGCGCUGGAGAACUGAGGGGGGCUGCUCCUAGUACGAGAGGACCGGAGUGGACGCAUCACUGGUGUUCGGGUUGUCAUGCCAAUGGCACUGCCCGGUAGCUAAAUGCGGAAGAGAUAAGUGCUGAAAGCAUCUAAGCACGAAACUUGCCCCGAGAUGAGUUCUCCCUGACUCCUUGAGAGUCCUGAAGGAACGUUGAAGACGACGACGUUGAUAGGCCGGGUGUGUAAGCGCAGCGAUGCGUUGAGCUAACCGGUACUAAUGAACCGUGAGGCUUAACCUUACAACGCCGAAGGUGUUU